RNAcentral lists this ribosomal RNA (779 nucleotides) under uncultured Neocallimastigales. RNAcentral's name for it is "partial large subunit ribosomal RNA". It matches the Rfam family "Eukaryotic large subunit ribosomal RNA", at positions 18 to 625 of the family's 3401-position model. The record is from RNAcentral. Lineage: Eukaryota; Fungi; Neocallimastigomycota; Neocallimastigomycetes; Neocallimastigales.
UCAGACGAUGCGUCAUGCAUAUCAAUAAGCGGAGGAAAAGAAACUAACAAGGAUUCCCUUAGUAACGGCGAGUGAAGCGGGAAGAGCUCAAAUUUGAAAUCUUCAAGGGUUUACCUUUACGAAUUGUAGUUUAAAGAAGUGUUUUCUGUUAGAGUUUCGGUAAAAGUUCUUUGGAAUAGGACAUCAUAGAGGGUGAGAAUCCCGUAUUUGACCAGUUAUUUCCAGCUUUGUGAUACACUUUCAAAGAGUCGGAUUGUUUGGGAAUGCAGUCCAAAAUGGGUGGUAAAUUUCAUCUAAAGCUAAAUAUUGGCGAGAGACCGAUAGCGAACAAGUACCGUGAGGGAAAGAUGAAAAGAACUUUGAAAAGAGAGUUAAACAGUACGUGAAAUUGUCAAAAGGGAAGCGUUUGACACCAGUGUUGUUUUCUCGAAAAUCAAUUAAAAAUGAGCUCGAUUUUGUAUUGCUGUAUGACCUUAACAGCUGCACUUUACAAUUUUCGUGCCUUUUUUAAUGAACUUUUCGUUUAACAAGUCAACAUCAGUUUCUUUUGUUGUAAAAAGGUCAUUGGAAGGUGGCUUUCUUUUCGGAGAAAGUGUUUAUAGCCUUUGACUCCUGCAAUCGGAGAGACUGAGGUCUGCAGCGUAGAUCCUUCGGGGUUAGAUACAUUUGUGCUAGGUUAUAGCUUUUUAUAGACAACUUGUUGACUAUGAUUAGUCUUGUAGCUUACUCGCUUAUGCUAUUUUACCUACGCUUAGGAUGUUGAGUCGUAGAGCACGCAG